GCGCCGAUGGUUUAGUGGUAAAAUCCAUCGUUGCCAUCGAUGGGCCCCCCGUUUCGAUUCCGGGUCGGCGCC
Molecule: transfer RNA, 72 nt
Filed under: Yarrowia lipolytica
Lineage: Eukaryota; Fungi; Ascomycota; Dipodascomycetes; Dipodascales
Description: tRNA-Gly
Rfam family: tRNA
About the family: Transfer RNA (tRNA) molecules are approximately 80 nucleotides in length. Their secondary structure includes four short double-helical elements and three loops (D, anti-codon, and T loops). Further hydrogen bonds mediate the characteristic L-shaped molecular structure. tRNAs have two regions of fundamental functional importance: the anti-codon, which is responsible for specific mRNA codon recognition, and the 3' end, to which the tRNAs corresponding amino acid is attached (by aminoacyl-tRNA synthetases). tRNAs cope with the degeneracy of the genetic code in two manners: having more than one tRNA (with a specific anti-codon) for a particular amino acid; and 'wobble' base-pairing, i.e. permitting non-standard base-pairing at the 3rd anti-codon position.
Source: RNAcentral